Molecule: long non-coding RNA, 1192 nt
Filed under: Equus caballus (horse)
Lineage: Eukaryota; Metazoa; Chordata; Mammalia; Perissodactyla; Equidae
Description: lncRNA (ENSECAG00000058179.1)
Source: RNAcentral
GUCCCCAGCACGCUGACCAGCAUUCCCGGACUGGGGCUGCCUCAGAGGACACAUCAAUGACUCCAGCCAUUUUGCGGCCUCUCAUUUUUGGAAAGUGUUUCUUCAGUGUAAGCAGAGCCUGCUUUCUAGGCAUGUCUGAGCGCCCACCUCAUGGCCCUAUAAUCCUCACUAUCCUGGAACUUGCGGCGGGCCGGUGCACGAGGAGGAGCAGGGCAGAGAGACGCAACGGCUCCACCACCCACAACAUGUCCACGAGAAGACGCAUCUCGACACCCGUGAAUCUGGGCUCCGAGCCCCCUGGAUUGGGGAGACACAGUGUGGCUCCUGGUUAGUGGCAUUUGGCAAUGAUUACACAAAUAUUCAAAAGGCUUCCGAGGGUUCAUUCUCAACCUCCUUGCCCCAAUCCUAUUUUUCCUACAACGUCUUAAAUUUCUGAAACCCCAGCCCUCCUACACUGGAAGUUUUCCUCCUGCCUGAAGAGAGCCUACUAUGUACGUGAUGUGCUCCUGGUGGGCCGAAACUGUGCUUUUCCAUCUCUGGAAUCCCUAGCAGGCUAAGCCUGGAAUGGGCAAACAGGCCUCCAGUGUCAUCUUGUGUAAGAACAGCAAUAGAAGACAUCUGUGUCUUUUCCUUGACAUCAAAGGAAAUCCUGUUAAACUUCAAACAUUAAUUAAGAAAGAGUGUUGAAUUUUAUUGAAUAUUUUCUGCAUCUACUGAGAUGAUCAUGUGUUUUCUCUUUUAAUCUAAUAAGUGGUCACUUACACUGAUAUAUCUUCUGCUAUUGAGUGACACAUUCCUGGGAUAAACCCUAUUUGGCAAAGACAUAUGAUUGCUUUUAAACACCUCUGAAUUUGAUUUGCUUUGGUAUUUUACAUCUAUGUUCAUAAAUAACAUUGUCAUGUGAUUUUCUUCCUUUCUUCCUUCUUUCUUCUUUUUUGUCCUACGUUUUUCUAUUAUCCUAUUAUCUUUGUCCAGGUUGAAUAUCAAGCUUAAACCAGCUGUAUUCAAUGACUUAGUUAGCUUUCUCUAACUUUCUAUCCUCUCAAACAGUUUGUUUGAUUAUGGACUUAAGUACUGCUUCAAUUUAUUUAAUAAUGAUUACAAGUCCCUUAAAGUUAGCACAUUUCCUUGAGUCAAUUUUGGUAAUUAUCUAUUUAUUUAAGUUUUCAAGUUUAAUGGCAUAAAGUUGUCC